UGUAUGUGAGUGUGUGAGUGUGCCUGGUGCAUGUGUUUGUUUGUAUUUGCCAGUGAGAUUUUCGCCUACUUUGCAAGGAAUACAUUGUGACAGACUGAUUAGUGAUCUUUACUGUGACUCCUCCAACCACCUUUUGACUCCGUGCACAGGAAGCGGCACAGUGACGCGCAUCUGUCCCGAGCCGACGCCGAGGAAGUCCCCUGAUGAAGAUGUAAAGUAAUAUCCCUGCAGCCCAUGAGCUUCGACAGUUACCUCUGGAUUUGCUGGGGCUUGGGCUGGAGUGGCUGCGAGAGGGAAAAGUGCUAAUCUACACGGCAGAAUCGGGAUUAGCAUGGUGAGCCAGGUGACCRGAGGGCCUGAUAUCUUACAGGCCACAAGAGAUGUAGACCCGGGGUCCUGGGGGGGGGGCUGCCUAGAGAAAUCAAGAAGGAGCCUUGAUGAGAAUUCCACUAAUCAGCUGAGGAUUAACAGCGACUCAGACAACACUACAUCUAAUUCCCCCUUCAUCACCGCUGGGGUAACAAGAGGCCUCACACAGCAGCAUGGCGCAGACGUGUAUGUGGACUUAUUUCUGUGGAGCUCCUAAUUGUUUUUUUUUUUACUUUGAACAUCUGUGCUAACCGGUAUUAGCAACUUAAGUUUUAGGGAAAUUGCUCUACUGCAGUUGUAGUUUUCAAUGUGCUUUUUAUAUGUGAAUGUACUUAUUAAAUAUUUUUGCUUUUUUUUCUGAAACACAAACGACGCUUUGCUUCUUGAUUUUGAUUUUUACCUUAAAUAAUAAAACAAAAAUGACCAGGAGGCAAAAACAACGUAGCUGUGCACUGAAGAGGCUCGAAUCAGCGCUUGAAAUAAUGUUAAGUUGUUAUUUUGUAUGUAUUUGUGUGUUUUGUCUGGUUUUGAAUAUUUUUUAUGGCACAAAACAUGAAGACAGGAUUUGAUCUCUAUGAUUUACCCAGAACUGCUGAGUGAGGUUAACGGUGAUUGCAGAUGUACUGGUAUCCCUUAUUUAUUGCACUUAGUUGUGUUGAUUGUUGCAGUAGAAGAAGAGAAAACAUACAAGCAGGAGGAGAGUGUAACUUUAUUUCUAAAUGACAAAUCAGACGAGCUAAUUGUUUAUUAAAAAAAUCAUUAAAAAGCAUGCUUUUGAAUGAAA
Molecule: long non-coding RNA, 1153 nt
Organism: Austrofundulus limnaeus
Lineage: Eukaryota; Metazoa; Chordata; Actinopteri; Cyprinodontiformes; Rivulidae
Exons: 4
Source: RefSeq, a predicted model, not a curated record